GAUAACUUCUAUACUAUACCUCUGG
Molecule: unclassified non-coding RNA, 25 nt
Filed under: Mus musculus (house mouse)
Lineage: Eukaryota; Metazoa; Chordata; Mammalia; Rodentia; Muridae
Description: oocyte_clustered_small_RNA660
Source: RNAcentral